GUCUGGAUGUGAACCUAACCCCUCAUCUGACUCCUUACUUCAAUUCUCCUUACUAUUCUCUGUGGUAUCUCUGAAGCCUGGACCUUGCUGAAAUGGGAGAAAUGGGUAUCUCUGAAUGUGAAAAGUGACAACUGACGUUUGUCUCAGAUCUUCAAUCUGGUGUGUCUGCUGUGUGCACAGAACCCCUGAAUGCAGACCAGCCCUGUUUUGAAUACUUAACAGCCAUGGCAGACACUGGCUAACACAUUAGUCAGCUCCUGUAAGUAAGAAAUGGUCAAUACCCAGUGCC
This is a long non-coding RNA of Mus spicilegus (steppe mouse), 289 nucleotides long. The record is from Ensembl. NCBI's taxonomy places the organism in Eukaryota, Metazoa, Chordata, Mammalia, Rodentia, Muridae.